This is a non-coding RNA of Ceratotherium simum simum (southern white rhinoceros), 293 nucleotides long. Lineage: Eukaryota; Metazoa; Chordata; Mammalia; Perissodactyla; Rhinocerotidae. The record is from RefSeq and is a predicted model, not a curated record.
AAACUCCUCCCCAAGGCAGCCUCAGAGCAGGUCAUACAAUUGAUGCUGAGGUGAGAGACUUCUAAAGACUCACCUUUCUGCCUCCUCCCAAGGCCCCUGGUGUCCCCAACUCACCAGUCCUGAUGUCAGUAGGUGACUCCCAACCACCAGGCCCAAAGCCCAGUACCGUCUCCUCUCACAGGCAUCAAAGAACACAACUCCCCAAAAGGCUCCCGGGUUCGCCCCAGUUCCUCCAGCCCUUGCCGGACCUCUCUCUUCGGUGCCCCCCGCGUCUCCCCGACCCCCUACUCACC